AUUGAACGCUGGCGGCAUGCCUUACACAUGCAAGUCGAACGGCAGCACGGGAGCAAUCCUGGUGGCGAGUGGCGAACGGGUGAGUAAUAUAUCGGAACGUGCCCAGUCGUGGGGAUAACGUAGCGAAAGCUACGCUAAUACCGCAUACGAUCUAUGGAUGAAAGCGGGGGAUCGCAAGACCUCGCGCGAUUGGAGCGGCCGAUAUCAGAUUAGGUAGUUGGUGAGGUAAAGGCUCACCAAGCCGACGAUCUGUAGCUGGUCUGAGAGGACGACCAGCCACACUGGGACUGAGACACGGCCCAGACUCCUACGGGAGGCAGCAGUGGGGAAUUUUGGACAAUGGGCGCAAGUCUGAUCCAGCCAUUCCGCGUGCAGGAUGAAGGCCCUCGGGUUGUAAACUGCUUUUGUACGGAACGAAAAGGUUUCUAUUAAUACUAGGAGCUCAUGACGGUACCGUAAGAAUAAGCACCGGCUAACUACGU
RNAcentral lists this ribosomal RNA (482 nucleotides) under uncultured bacterium. RNAcentral describes it as "bacterial SSU rRNA". It matches the Rfam family "Bacterial small subunit ribosomal RNA", at positions 30 to 506 of the family's 1533-position model. The record is from RNAcentral.